UUUCGGUGUAGGAUGAGGCUAUAUCGUAUCAGCUAGUUGGUAGGGUAACGGCCUACCAAGGCUAUGACGCGUAACUGGUCUGAGAGGAUGAUCAGUCACACUGGAACUGAGACACGGUCCAGACUCCUACGGGAGGCAGCAGUAGGGAAUAUUGCUCAAUGGGGGAAACCCUGAAGCAGCAACGCCGCGUGGAGGAUGACACUUUUCGGAGCGUAAACUCCUUUUCUUGGGAAAGAAUUAUGACGGUACCCAAGGAAUAAGCACCGGCUAACUCCGUGCCAGCAGCCGCGGUAAUACGGAGGGUGCAAGCGUUACUCGGAAUCACUGGGCGUAAAGGACGCGUAGGCGGAUUAUCAAGUCUCUUGUGAAAUCUAACGGCUUAACCGUUAAACUGCUUGGGAAACUGAUAAUCUAGAGUAAGGGAGAGGCAGAUGGAAUUCUUGGUGUAGGGGUAAAAUCCGUAGAGAUCAAGAAGAAUACCCAUUGCGAAAGCGAUCUGCUGGAACUUAACUGACGCUAAUGCGUGAAAGCGUGGGGAGCAAACAGGAUUAGAUACCCUGGUAGUCCACGCCCUAAACGAUGUAUACUAGUUGUUGCUUCGCUAGUCGAGGCAGUAAUGCACCUAACGGAUUAAGUAUACCGCCUGGGGAGUACGGUCGCAAGAUUAAAACUCAAAGGAAUAGACGGGGACCCGCACAAGCGGUGGAGCAUGUGGUUUAAUUCGAAGAUACGCGAAGAACCUUACCCGGACUUGAUAUCUAACAAAUCAUCCAGAGAUGGAAGAGUGUCUGCUUGCAGAAAUGUUAAGACAGGUGCUGCACGGCUGUCGUCAGCUCGUGUCGUGAGAUGUUGGGUUAAGUCCCGCAACGAGCGCAACCCACGUAUUUAGUUGCUAACGGUUAGGCCGAGCACUCUAAAUAGACUGCCUUCGUAAGGAGGAGGAAGGUGUGGACGACGUCAAGUCAUCAUGGCCCUUAUGUCCGGGGCGACACACGUGCUACAAUGGCGUAUACAAUAAGACGCAAUAUCGCGAGAUGGAGCAAAUCUAUAAAAUACGUCCCAGUUCGGAUUGGAGUCUGCAACUCGACUCCAUGAAGCCGGAAUCGCUAGUAAUCGUAGAUCAGCCAUGCUACGGUGAAUACGUUCCCGGGUCUUGUACUCACCGCCCGUCACACCAUGGGAGUUGAUUUCACUCGAAGCCCAAAUACCAAACCGGUUAUGGUCCACAGUGGAAUCAGCGACUGGGGUG
RNAcentral lists this ribosomal RNA (1249 nucleotides) under Campylobacter rectus. RNAcentral describes it as "bacterial SSU rRNA". It matches the Rfam family "Bacterial small subunit ribosomal RNA", at positions 213 to 1482 of the family's 1533-position model. The record is from RNAcentral. Lineage: Bacteria; Pseudomonadati; Campylobacterota; Epsilonproteobacteria; Campylobacterales; Campylobacteraceae.